Folsomia candida is the source of this 615-nucleotide long non-coding RNA. RefSeq lists it as uncharacterized. The record is from RefSeq and is a predicted model, not a curated record. The transcript is spliced from 2 exons. NCBI's taxonomy places the organism in Eukaryota, Metazoa, Arthropoda, Collembola, Entomobryomorpha, Isotomidae.
UGGCCUGGAACGUGGAUCUCAGCGUUUCAUAAUUUACGAACUAAAUAUGCAUCUCUCCUACAAAUAAACUGUUGAUCCAUUAAUUUUGCGAAGUUCAAUUAAGAGUUCAACCUCUUAUAAAAUUGUUAAUUUUAAUAAAUGCUCUCAGUGUCAAGCAGACUAUUCUAACUUAAGCAAUAAUUUCAUAAACAUAAGAAAUAAUUUUAAGAAAUAAUUAAGCUCGACAAUUUUAAGAAACAAAACUAAUUCUCAAAAAUCUUUUGGGUAGAUAGGAAUUUGAUUUCCGCGUACAAAAUGGCAAUAUUGGUCCGGCUUGUGGGUCUUCUCUCACUUCUGAUUUUAUUCACCAGCCUUCUUACUGUGGAGUCCACCAUAAUUUGCAUUUGUGCAGCUGCCAAGUGUAACAAUGAAACUGAUACUUGGAGUUGCCAAAGUACUGGGGGCACCUGCCAAUUUGUCAACCAACAAUGCGGUUUUCGAUGCCAGGAAGGCUUCCUGGAUGUCUGUGCCUCCGUCUAAAAAUUGGGCCGCUGAUUACUACACAACUUGUGUUAAUCUAUUAAAUAAACAAUCAAAUUCAAUAAAGUCUUAAAUUUGCGUGAAGUAAACAAAAUA